AGAGUGAACGCUGGCGGUAGGCCUAACACAUGCAAGUCGAACGGCAGCACAGUGGUAGCAAUACCAUGGGUGGCGAGUGGCGGACGGGUGAGGAAUACAUCGGAAUCUACCUUUUCGUGGGGGAUAACGUAGGGAAACUUACGCUAAUACCGCAUACGCCCUUCGGGGGAAAGCCGGGGAUCGCAAGACCUGGCGCGGAUAGAUGAGCCGAUGUCGGAUUAGCUAGUUGGUGAGGUAAUGGCUCACCAAGGCGACGAUCCGUAGCUGGUCUGAGAGGAUGAUCAGCCACACUGGAACUGAGACACGGUCCAGAC
RNAcentral lists this ribosomal RNA (314 nucleotides) under uncultured soil bacterium. RNAcentral describes it as "bacterial SSU rRNA". It matches the Rfam family "Bacterial small subunit ribosomal RNA", at positions 26 to 336 of the family's 1533-position model. The record is from RNAcentral.